CCAUUGGAACAGCUACUGUGUAAGUGAACAACUAUAAGAAAACCCACUUAUCUCACAAAUUCCAUCUACAAUUGUUUCACCGAAAUCCCAUGUACCCAUGUGGGGAAUCGAACCAGGGUCUUCGGCGUGACGAGCGAACGUUUUAACC
Haliotis rubra (blacklip abalone) is the source of this 148-nucleotide long non-coding RNA. RefSeq lists it as uncharacterized. The record is from RefSeq and is a predicted model, not a curated record. NCBI's taxonomy places the organism in Eukaryota, Metazoa, Mollusca, Gastropoda, Lepetellida, Haliotidae. The transcript is spliced from 3 exons.